Molecule: transfer-messenger RNA, 386 nt
Filed under: Saprospiraceae
Lineage: Bacteria; Pseudomonadati; Bacteroidota; Saprospiria; Saprospirales
Also listed under: 1 other name
Description: RFSX01 sp013002625 Standard tmRNA
Rfam family: transfer-messenger RNA
About the family: Bacterial tmRNA, also known as 10Sa RNA or SsrA, is named for its dual tRNA and mRNA-like properties. Its role is to liberate the mRNA from a stalled ribosome.
Source: RNAcentral
GGGGCUGAACGGUAUUGACAGGAAAGAAUACUGAUAAGUAAGCAUGCCGGAGAACUGAUCAUUUACUCCGUCCAAAUGAUGAUCACAACAUUAAUUGGCGAAAGAAACUUCGCUUUAGCUGCCUAAUUUAGAAUUAGCCAGACUAAAUGCACUGGAUUGAGGACGUCUGAUAGUUAAUCCAACAGUGUAUCAACCCGCUACGCUUCGCGCUGGCACUCGGACUAGAAGGAUAAGGCUUCGAUUAUUCUUCGAAUCUUAAGAAGAUAAGCCAAGAGUUGGUUGUUUGUAUACCUGCUCGCGGACGAAAAUUCAAGUACAAACUAAGCAUGUAGAAGGCCUAUGAGUGCUUUGUCUGGACCCGAGUUCGAAUCUCGGCAGCUCCACCA